This 55-nucleotide non-coding RNA is filed under the name unclassified sequences. The record is from Rfam.
CGCAGAGUGACGGGGUGAAAACCCCGGUAAUGCGGCAGGCCGGUCACAAGCCCGG